GUGGGGAAUUUUGGACAAUGGGCGCAAGCCUGAUCCAGCAAUGCCGCGUGCAGGAAGAAGGCCUUCGGGUUGUAAACUGCUUUUGUACGGAACGAAACGGUCCUGGCUAAUAUCCGGGGCUAAUGACGGUACCGUAAGAAUAAGCACCGGCUAACUACGUGCCAGCAGCCGCGGUAAUACGUAGGGUGCGAGCGUUAAUCGGAAUUACUGGGCGUAAAGCGUGCGCAGGCGGUGAUGUAAGACAGUUGUGAAAUCCCCGGGCUCAACCUGGGAACUGCAUCCGUGACUGCAUUGCUGGAGUGCGGCAGAGGGGGAUGGAAUUCCGCGUGUAGCAGUGAAAUGCGUAGAUAUGCGGAGGAACACCGAUGGCGAAGGCAAUCCCCUGGGCCUGCACUGACGCUCAUGCACGAAAGCGUGGGGAGCAAACAGGAUUAGAAACCCGAGUAGUCC
Molecule: ribosomal RNA, 450 nt
Filed under: uncultured bacterium
Lineage: Bacteria
Description: partial 16S ribosomal RNA
Rfam family: Bacterial small subunit ribosomal RNA
Source: RNAcentral